Molecule: long non-coding RNA, 1090 nt
Organism: Acanthochromis polyacanthus (spiny chromis)
Lineage: Eukaryota; Metazoa; Chordata; Actinopteri; Pomacentridae
Exons: 2
Source: RefSeq, a predicted model, not a curated record
GCUGUAGGCCUCCAGUACGUCCUUCAGGUUGAAGGUGAAGCGGUAUGAACCCAGUCUGGACUCCUCUGAGAAUGCUGGAGAGCUGGUAAACUUAUAGAGGAAGCUGGGAUGCAUGGCGACCUCAUCCUCUGUGACGUUUCUGAAUUUCUGUUGCAGGAGCCUCGUCUCAGCUGACUUCACCUCCUCAUGGCCCACAGCCAGACUCCACCACAACAGGACGCCUGCAUGUGGAUCAUCUGAGCCUCCGUAUGGAACUCUGAAGCCUUCGUCCUUCCUGAUGCCACUCAACCCGUCUUGAUCUGUGUCGUGUUUCAGACGAGUCACAUGGAGCUCCGGCUUUGUUUUGGACUCCACCUGCUACUGUCUGGUCUGACUCUUCGGCUUCAUCUUCAGCCCAAAUCCAUUUCCCUCUGGACACAUUGCCUGGUUCAUCUCUGCCAUCUCCACAUAACCCAAGCCCCUUAUUCCUUCUCCUGUCAUUGUAGCCUCUGCCUUCAGCCCCCAGACAGCCAAGCCUUCAGCUCCCAGUUUACCCCAGUAAAUGUCACAGUAGCAGUGCCUCAGUCAGAGCAGUCACAGGUCAGGUUUUCUUGUGUUUUUAGCCUACAGAGGAUUAUUGCCCUUAGCUUGAAUUUUGUUUAUAGACUACUGUUUGCUUUUUAGUCACCGUAUUUCUGUAGCCUUAGCUUAGCUUUAGUCUCAGAAUUAGUUAGCCUUUUUGUUCUUAUAGUCGUCAUAGCUUAGUGACCCCUUUGUUCCAGGUGAGAGUUAUCUUGUGGUACUGUAGCUCUUUGUUACUUUCAGUAUUUCCUGUAUUGUUGUAUCCUAUUUGAGAGUUUCCCUAGUUAAUGUAGCUGAACUUUUUGAAAUGCACCUUAGUUUUAUUAUUGUGUCCUAGUGGGUUUUUCCAUCUUGCAUUCCUUCCAGGUGUUACCUGCAGUAUGUUUACCUUAGUUUAGUCUGCCAACCUCUAGGGGCAGUGUAGUUUUCCCCAGCUUAGUUUCCUUAGGUCCCCAGUUUAGUUUCUGUGGGUCGAUAGCUGGGAUUUGUACUUCUGUUUGAGUUUGUUGUAAAUAAAUCAUUAAUACUG